Molecule: ribosomal RNA, 303 nt
Filed under: uncultured bacterium
Lineage: Bacteria
Description: partial 16S ribosomal RNA
Rfam family: Bacterial small subunit ribosomal RNA
Source: RNAcentral
AGCAGCAGCCGCGGGAAAACGGAGGGUGCAAGCGUUAUCCGGAUUUAUUGGGUUUAAAGGGUCCGUAGGCGGAUCUGUAGUCAGUGGUGAAAUCUCACAGCUUAACUGUGAAACUGCCAUUGAUACUGCAGGUCUUGAGUAAAUUUGAAGUGGCUGGAAUAAGUAGUGUAGCGGUGAAAUGCAUAGAUAUUACUUAGAACACCAAUUGCGAAGGCAGGUCACUAAGAUUUAACUGACGCUGAUGGACGAAAGCGUGGGGAGCGAACAGGAUUAGAUACCCCUGUAGUCCCUGUCUCUUAUACA